GUUUUAAUAAUUUAAUGAAAAUAUUGGUCUUGUAAACCAAACUUAAGGUCAUCUUUUAAAACU
Molecule: transfer RNA, 63 nt
Filed under: Gromphadorhina oblongonota
Lineage: Eukaryota; Metazoa; Arthropoda; Insecta; Blattodea; Blaberidae
Description: tRNA-Thr
Rfam family: tRNA
About the family: Transfer RNA (tRNA) molecules are approximately 80 nucleotides in length. Their secondary structure includes four short double-helical elements and three loops (D, anti-codon, and T loops).
Source: RNAcentral